RNAcentral lists this transfer RNA (73 nucleotides) under Fidelibacterota bacterium. RNAcentral describes it as "tRNA-Lys". It matches the Rfam family "tRNA". Rfam says of the family: Transfer RNA (tRNA) molecules are approximately 80 nucleotides in length. Their secondary structure includes four short double-helical elements and three loops (D, anti-codon, and T loops). Further hydrogen bonds mediate the characteristic L-shaped molecular structure. tRNAs have two regions of fundamental functional importance: the anti-codon, which is responsible for specific mRNA codon recognition, and the 3' end, to which the tRNAs corresponding amino acid is attached (by aminoacyl-tRNA synthetases). tRNAs cope with the degeneracy of the genetic code in two manners: having more than one tRNA (with a specific anti-codon) for a particular amino acid; and 'wobble' base-pairing, i.e. permitting non-standard base-pairing at the 3rd anti-codon position. The record is from RNAcentral. Lineage: Bacteria; Pseudomonadati; Fidelibacterota.
GGCCCUGUAGCUCAAUUGGUAGAGCAGUAGCCUCUUAAGCUAUUGGUUGAAGGUUCGAGUCCUUCCAGGGUCA